Molecule: transfer RNA, 69 nt
Filed under: Ictidomys tridecemlineatus (thirteen-lined ground squirrel)
Lineage: Eukaryota; Metazoa; Chordata; Mammalia; Rodentia; Sciuridae
Description: Spermophilus tridecemlineatus (thirteen-lined ground squirrel) tRNA
Rfam family: tRNA
About the family: Transfer RNA (tRNA) molecules are approximately 80 nucleotides in length. Their secondary structure includes four short double-helical elements and three loops (D, anti-codon, and T loops).
Source: Rfam by way of RNAcentral
GGGGCUGUAGCUCAGUGGCAGAGCGUUUGCCUCCAAAGUGUGAGGCUCUGGGUUCCAUCCUCAGCACCA